This 253-nucleotide ribosomal RNA is filed under the name uncultured bacterium. RNAcentral describes it as "partial 16S ribosomal RNA". It matches the Rfam family "Bacterial small subunit ribosomal RNA", at positions 524 to 776 of the family's 1533-position model. The record is from RNAcentral.
UACGUAGGGUGCAAGCGUUGUCCGGAAUUACUGGGCGUAAAGGGCGCGUAGGCGGCCUGUUAAGUCGAACGUGAAAUCCCCGGGCUCAACCCGGGAACUGCGUCCGAUACUGGCAGGCUUGAAUUCGGGAGAGGGAUGCGGAAUUCCAGGUGUAGCGGUGAAAUGCGUAGAUAUCUGGAGGAACACCGGUGGCGAAGGCGGCAUCCUGGACCGAGAUUGACGCUGAGGCGCGAAAGCCAGGGGAGCAAACGGG